AAAAAAAAUACAGCAAGAGCUUAGCCCGAGCAGCAGCCGCCCUUCUUCACCGCCGAAACAUCAUCCUUUAUAUUGAUCUUCUCACCCUUGCCAGGACCAGAACCUGCAUCAUCACCUGCUUCGACUGACCUCUUGCUCACGAUGCGGUAGAUCUGGGUCAAGACCUCUGCAAAUGCAUUCUCAACGUUGGUGGACUCGAGCGCAGAGGUCUCCAUGAAAUAGAGCGAUUCUCUCUCCGCGAAUGCCUUCCCUUCAUCGGUUUGAACCGCUACAAGAUGGCGCAGAUCAGACUUGUUGCCAACUAGCAUGACAACUAUGUUUGGGUCUGUAUGGUCCCUCAAUUCCUUCAACCAGCGCUCAACAUUCUCAAAGGUUGAGUGCCGGGUGACAUCAUAGACAAGCAACGCUCCAACAGCACCUCGGUAAUAUGCACUAGUAAUAGCACGGUAUCUGCACCAAGAACAGAUGCUUUAUAAGUGAAGGCAGAAGUAAACUGAAAAGGCAGCAUUCUGCCUUGCAAGAUAAAUCAGUGCUGAAACUACUAAAAAAAUAGGAGGGAGGAGGGGCGUACCGCUCCUGGCCGGCGGUGUCCCAAAUCUGGGCCUUGACGACCUUGCCGUCGACCUGGAGGGAGCGGGUGGCGAACUCGACGCCGAUGGUGGACUUGGACUCGAGGCUGAACUCGUUGCGGGUGAAGCGGGAGAGGAGGUUG
Molecule: small RNA, 712 nt
Filed under: Oryza sativa Japonica Group (Japanese rice)
Lineage: Eukaryota; Viridiplantae; Streptophyta; Magnoliopsida; Poales; Poaceae
Description: sRNA Os06g0551450
Source: RNAcentral